RNAcentral lists this ribosomal RNA (778 nucleotides) under uncultured Mycobacterium sp. RNAcentral describes it as "bacterial SSU rRNA". It matches the Rfam family "Bacterial small subunit ribosomal RNA", at positions 562 to 1339 of the family's 1533-position model. Lineage: Bacteria; Bacillati; Actinomycetota; Actinomycetes; Mycobacteriales; Mycobacteriaceae. The record is from RNAcentral.
AAAGAGCUCGUAGGUGGUUUGUCGCGUUGUUCGUGAAAACUCACAGCUUAACUGUGGGCGUGCGGGCGAUACGGGCAGACUAGAGUACUGCAGGGGAGACUGGAAUUCCUGGUGUAGCGGUGGAAUGCGCAGAUAUCAGGAGGAACACCGGUGGCGAAGGCGGGUCUCUGGGCAGUAACUGACGCUGAGGAGCGAAAGCGUGGGGAGCGAACAGGAUUAGAUACCCUGGUAGUCCACGCCGUAAACGGUGGGUACUAGGUGUGGGUUCCUUCCUUGGGAUCCGUGCCGUAGCUAACGCAUUAAGUACCCCGCCUGGGGAGUACGGCCGCAAGGCUAAAACUCAAAGGAAUUGACGGGGGCCCGCACAAGCGGCGGAGCAUGUGGAUUAAUUCGAUGCAACGCGAAGAACCUUACCUGGGUUUGACAUGCACAGGACGCUGGUAGAGAUAUCAGUUCCCUUGUGGCCUGUGUGCAGGUGGUGCAUGGCUGUCGUUAGCUCGUGUCGUGAGAUGUUGGGUUAAGUCCCGCAACGAGCGCAACCCCUAUCUUAUGUUGCCAGCGCGUUAUGGCGGGGACUCGUAAGAGACUGCCGGGGUCAACUCGGAGGAAGGUGGGGAUGACGUCAAGUCAUCAUGCCCCUUAUGUCCAGGGCUUCACACAUGCUACAAUGGCCGGUACAAAGGGCUGCGAAUCCGCGAGGUGGAGCGAAUCCCUUGAAAGCCGGUCUCAGUUCGGAUCGGGGUCUGCAACUCGACCCCGUGAAGUUGGAGUCGCUAGU